This 420-nucleotide ribosomal RNA is filed under the name uncultured bacterium. RNAcentral describes it as "bacterial SSU rRNA". It matches the Rfam family "Bacterial small subunit ribosomal RNA", at positions 355 to 775 of the family's 1533-position model. The record is from RNAcentral.
UGGGGAAUCUUGCGCAAUGGCCGAAAGGCUGACGCAGCGACGCCGCGUGAGGGAUGACGGCCUUCGGGUUGUAAACCUCUGUUGCCCGGGACGAACAACACCAUUCGUGGUGUCUGACGGUACCGGGUGAGGAAGCACCGGCUAACUCUGUGCCAGCAGCCGCGGUAAUACAGAGGGUGCGAGCGUUGUCCGGAAUCACUGGGCGUAAAGGGCGCGUAGGCGGUCUGCUAAGCGUGUGGUGAAAGCUCGGGGCUCAACCCCGAGUCGGCCAUGCGAACUGGUGGACUGGAGCAUGUCAGAGGCAGGCGGAAUUCCGGGUGUAGCGGUGGAAUGCGUAGAGAUCCGGAAGAACACCGGUGGCGAAGGCGGCCUGCUGGGACAUUGCUGACGCUGAGGCGCGACAGCGUGGGGAGCAAACAG